Molecule: long non-coding RNA, 586 nt
Organism: Polypterus senegalus (gray bichir)
Lineage: Eukaryota; Metazoa; Chordata; Cladistia; Polypteriformes; Polypteridae
Exons: 2
Source: RefSeq, a predicted model, not a curated record
CUUCGGUGCAGCUGUCCGUGAAUCGCGCUGCGGUGGACUGCUCGCGGUUUAAGAGGUGUUUAACGUCACUUCAUUUGGAAAUCUUCACGAAACACGAGCAGUGUCAGCUUCAGACGAGAUGAGGAUAAAACCAAUGAACACCCGCUUCGCAGGACGGGAAGGACCCUCGACAAGAGUCACGUGUCAGGUGACUUACGAUUCCUGGCUUUGUGCCUAUUGUUCCUUUUUAUCGUAUUUGUCAUUUUUAUGCACUUUUUGUCAAGACACUUACUGUAUAUGUGAAUACUUCUAACUUGACUGGCCAAGUGUUCUGUGGGUUGAAUUCCCCAGGAGGCGGAGCCUGCGUGACGUCACCCUUAUAUUCAGGAGUGAGCCCCCCAGAGGCCCGUUGGCUGUGGUGGGCUUCAUUCCAUUCUUUGGGAUACUCUUACGCGUUUUGGAUUUUGCUCGUUGUUUACUGGAUCGCAGACGUGGAUUUUCUCUCCCACAUUCCCCCCUUUGGCGCAUCCACUUUUUUUCUUUCUCCUCCUGCCUUGCCAGAGUUUUGUGCUUCUGCUGUUUACUUAAUAAACUCUUUAAAGAAUAA